GCGUUUGUAGCUCAGCUGGAUAGAGCAACCGCCUUCUAAGCGGUGGGUCGGAGGUUCGAGUCCCCCCAAGCGCG
Molecule: transfer RNA, 74 nt
Organism: Clostridium sp. CAG:678
Lineage: Bacteria; Bacillati; Bacillota; Clostridia; Eubacteriales; Clostridiaceae
Rfam family: tRNA
About the family: Transfer RNA (tRNA) molecules are approximately 80 nucleotides in length. Their secondary structure includes four short double-helical elements and three loops (D, anti-codon, and T loops).
Source: Rfam